Molecule: long non-coding RNA, 293 nt
Filed under: Meleagris gallopavo (turkey)
Lineage: Eukaryota; Metazoa; Chordata; Aves; Galliformes; Phasianidae
Description: lncRNA (ENSMGAG00000022362.1)
Source: RNAcentral
AAACCACAGCCCCAACAUGUGCUCAUUUGUAAUCUGCCCUUGCAGUCAUCUACGUGAUUCACACCUGCAGCUCAACCUUUUACUGAAUGUGGGAUGAGAUGCAUUUUUGCACCAGUGGUUAAGUCCAGAUGCCUCUGAGCCAAUUUGUCUGCUGGUUACCUGGCUGAGGACUAUUGAGAAGCUUCAGUCUACUCCUAUUCCUGUUCUCAAAAGCACUGAAAAACUCCUCCAGCUCAGUGUAAGUACAGGCCAAAUUCACAUCACAUUGAUCAUGGCAUGACAAUAGCAGUCAC